AUACCUUUCUCGGCCUUUUGGCUAAGAUCAAGUGUAGUAUCUGUUCUUAUCAGUUUAAUAUCUGAUACGUGGGCGAAUGGCUCACAUGAUAUUAAAUUAAUUUUUUUAGGAAGAGGUUCCACCAUAAUAGAUUGCUAUUGGGGCUCUCAAGUGUCGCCCAAGCGUUGCAAUAUUGCAUGGGCUUGGCACACUCCAC
Molecule: small nuclear RNA, 196 nt
Filed under: Prunus dulcis (almond)
Lineage: Eukaryota; Viridiplantae; Streptophyta; Magnoliopsida; Rosales; Rosaceae
Description: sRNA ncRNA
Rfam family: U2 spliceosomal RNA
About the family: U2 is a small nuclear RNA (snRNA) component of the spliceosome (involved in pre-mRNA splicing).
Source: Rfam by way of RNAcentral